UACGUAGGUGGCAAGCGUUGUCCGGAAUUACUGGGCGUAAAGGGCGUGUAGGCGGCCUUUUAAGUCAGACGUGAAAACCCUGGGCUUAACCCAGGAACUGCGUUUGAAACUGGAAGGCUUGAGGACCGGAGAGGGUAGUGGAAUUCCCAGUGUAGCGGUGAAAUGCGUAGAUAUUGGGAGGAACACCAGUGGCGAAGGCGGCAUCCUGGACCGGUAUUGACGCUGAGGCGCGAAAGCGUGGGGAGCAAACAGG
This 253-nucleotide ribosomal RNA is filed under the name uncultured bacterium. RNAcentral's name for it is "partial 16S ribosomal RNA". It matches the Rfam family "Bacterial small subunit ribosomal RNA", at positions 524 to 776 of the family's 1533-position model. The record is from RNAcentral.